This 321-nucleotide unclassified non-coding RNA is filed under the name rhizosphere metagenome. RNAcentral's name for it is "partial ribosomal RNA internal transcribed spacer region". The record is from RNAcentral.
GUAGGUGAACCUGCGGAAGGAUCAUUAACACGUAUCCAACGUAAACAACCCUGUGAACCUUGAACGUGCUCUCGUACACGCUCUAGCAGCAAUCCCUGGUAAAUCAUUGUUGACCAGCUAUUGAGUCUGGGACUUCUGCUAGCAUAAGUGCGGCCUGGCAUCCUAGCAAUCUGUCAGUGGUUGCGCAAGUCGCUGUAGGCCCACACGGCCGGCGACCGGGCUGUGCUUCGGCACCUAAUGACACCAGUUUUCUGACCCGGUGCGCUGUAACAACCGCACCACAAACUCGAACAACUGUUAACAAUGGAUAUCUUGGUUCUU